Molecule: ribosomal RNA, 791 nt
Filed under: uncultured euryarchaeote
Lineage: Archaea; Methanobacteriati; Methanobacteriota
Description: bacterial SSU rRNA
Rfam family: Archaeal small subunit ribosomal RNA
Source: RNAcentral
ACGGCUCAGUAACACGUUACUAACUUGCCCUUUCGGUCGGGAAUAGCCACGGGAAACUGUGGGUAAAACCCGAUAGGGUAUGCGAUCUGGAAUGCCGCAUACUUCAAACUCGCGCCGAAGGAUAGGGUAGCGGCUGAUUAGGUAGUUGGUGGGGUAACGGCCCACCAAGCCAAUGAUCAGUACGGGCCUUGAAAGAGGUAGCCCGGAGAGGGACACUGAGAUACUGGUCCCAGCCCUACGGGGUGCAGCAGGCGCGAAACCUUUACAAUGCACGAAAGUGUGAUAAGGGGAUCCUACGUGCUCGUGCUAAAGCACGGGCUUUUGCCAAGAGUAAAUAUCUUGGAGAAUAAGUGGUGGGUAAGACUGGUGCCAGCCGCCGCGGUAACACCAGCGCCACAAGUGGCAAUCGGCAUUAUUGGGCCUAAAGCGUCCGUAGCUGGAUAUGUACAUCCUUUGUGAAAUCGUCGGGCUCAACCCGACGGCGUGCAGAGGACACGGCAUAUCUUGGGAGCGGGAGGAGCAAGAGGUAUUCGGGGGGGACCGGUAAAAUGGUAUAAUCCCCCGAGGACCACCGAUGGCGAAAGCAUCUUGCUAGAACGCGUCCGACAGUCAGGGACGAAAGCCAGGGGAGCGAACCGGAUUAGAUACCCGAGUAGUCCUGGCCGUAAACGCUGUGAGUUAGGCGUUGCACCACCCACGAGGUUGUGCAGUGUCGAUGCGAAGGCAUUAAACUCACCGCCUGGGGAGUACGGUCGCAAGGCUGAAACUUAAAGGAAUUGGCGGGGGAGCAC